Long non-coding RNA from Zingiber officinale, 456 nucleotides. RefSeq lists it as uncharacterized. The transcript has 2 exons. The record is from RefSeq and is a predicted model, not a curated record. Lineage: Eukaryota; Viridiplantae; Streptophyta; Magnoliopsida; Zingiberales; Zingiberaceae.
GGAAAAACCUAAUUGCCUCGAAUUCCUUCUCUCCUUCUCCUCACCUCACGCGAGCAUCGACGCUUCUCGCGAAACCGCAGCGGCUGGAAACUAGGGCUUCUCCGGCGGCCGGCCAAAGGGGACCUCUCCGUGGGUUCUUCACAAGUCCGAGUUCCUCUCGUCGAGGAGAAUCCGUAGGCACGAGGAAGAGGGCGAGUUUGUGAGAUCCUCCGCAAACCCCAGAAGCAUUGGAAGCCUUUUUCUUCGGCUGUAAGUCCAAGAAACCCAAGAUAAAGAAAGGCGACAAGGUGGCACAGAUGGUGUGUGAUGCUAGGACUAUGGAAGUCUUGGGACCUAGUUUAAGAAUUUGUUUAGACUAAUUCUUUAUUUAGAUUGAUAAGAAAAUUGGAGUAAGAAGUUGUAUUUUAUUUUGCUUCCGCUAUUCAUUACUUGCAUGAUUUGAUUUUAUUAAACUGC